CGGGUGAGUAAUGCGUGACCAACCUGCCCCAUGCUCCAGAAUAGCUCUUGGAAACGGGUGGUAAUGCUGGAUGCUCCAACUUGACGCAUGUCUUGUUGGGAAAGUGUUUAGUUGCAUGGGAUGGGGUCGCGUCCUAUCAGCUUGUAGGCGGGGUAAUGGCCCACCUAGGCUUCGACGGGUAGCCGGCCUGAGAGGGCGGACGGCCACAUUGGGACUGAGAUACGGCCCAGACUCCUACGGGAGGCAGCAGCC
Molecule: ribosomal RNA, 252 nt
Filed under: uncultured Gardnerella sp.
Lineage: Bacteria; Bacillati; Actinomycetota; Actinomycetes; Bifidobacteriales; Bifidobacteriaceae
Description: partial 16S ribosomal RNA
Rfam family: Bacterial small subunit ribosomal RNA
Source: RNAcentral